This 279-nucleotide small nuclear RNA is filed under the name Octodon degus (degu). RNAcentral's name for it is "7SK RNA (ENSODEG00000022940.1)". It matches the Rfam family "7SK RNA". From Rfam's summary of the family: 7SK was discovered as an abundant small nuclear RNA in the mid-70s but a possible function has only recently been suggested. Two independent studies have found that 7SK RNA binds the CDK9/cyclin T complex (known as elongation factor P-TEFb). Lineage: Eukaryota; Metazoa; Chordata; Mammalia; Rodentia; Octodontidae. The record is from Rfam by way of RNAcentral.
GCACCUGCCUGGAAAGUGUGACAUCUGUCACCCAUCGAUCACCAGGGCUGGCUAGGCGAGUGUCCCCUUCCUCCCUCAGUGCUCUGUGUGCAUCCCCCCAAAGCUGCGCACUCAGUGGAAGAGGACGACCACCCCUGAUAGAGGAGGAUCGCUCCUCAUCAAGGGUAUGCUAGUAGCUACGCUCCCCUGCUAGAACCUCCAAACAAGUUCUCAAAAAGUGAAAUUGUAAAAAUAGCGAAUUCUGUAUCUUGUUUGGUGUGUGAAAAAUGCUCCCUGUAC